This 398-nucleotide ribosomal RNA is filed under the name uncultured bacterium. Its description in RNAcentral is "bacterial SSU rRNA". It matches the Rfam family "Bacterial small subunit ribosomal RNA", at positions 358 to 773 of the family's 1533-position model. The record is from RNAcentral.
GGAAUAUUGGACAAUGGGCGCAAGCCUGAUCCAGCCAUGCCGCGUGAGUGAAGAAGGCCUUAGGGUUGUAAAGCUCUUUCACCUGCGAAGAUGAUGACGGUAGCAGGAGAAGAAGCCCCGGCUAACUCCGUGCCAGCAGCCGCGGUAAUACGGGGGGGGCUAGCGUUGUUCGGAAUUACUGGGCGUAAAGGGCGCGUAGGCGGUAUGCCAAGUCAGGGGUGAAAGGCCUGGGCUCAACCCAGGAAUUGCCUUGGAAACUGGCAAACGAGAGUCCGAAAGAGGAUGGCGGAAUUCCCAGUGUAGAGGUGAAAUUCGUAGAUAUUGGGAAGAACACCAGUGGCGAAGGCGGCUCACUGGCUCGGUACUGACGCUGAGGUGCGAAAGCGUGGGGAGCAAAC